AGGCCAGACUCCUACGGGAGGCAGCAGUGGGGGAUAUUGCACAAUGGGGGAAACCCUGAUGCAGCGACGCCGCGUGGGUGAAGAAGCGCCUCGGCGCGUAAAGCCCUGUCAGCAGGGAAGAAAAUGACGGUACCUGAAGAAGAAGCCCCGGCUAACUACGUGCCAGCAGCCGCGGUAAUACGUAGGGGGCAAGCGUUAUCCGGAAUUACUGGGGGUAAAGGGAGCGUAGACGGUGAUGUAAGUCUGGAGUGAAAGGCGGGGGCCCAACCCCCGGACUGCUCUGGAAACUAUGUGGCUGGAGUGCAGGAGAGGUGAGCGGAAUUCCUAGUGUAGCGGUGAAAUGCGUAGAUAUUAGGAGGAACACCAGUGGCGAAGGCGGCUCACUGGACUGUAACUGACGUUGAGGCUCGAAAGCGUGGGGAGCAAACAGGAUUAGAUACCCCAGUA
Molecule: ribosomal RNA, 447 nt
Filed under: uncultured bacterium
Lineage: Bacteria
Description: bacterial SSU rRNA
Rfam family: Bacterial small subunit ribosomal RNA
Source: RNAcentral